GGAGUAUUGGUCAAUGGGCGAGAGCCUGAACCAGCCAAGUAGCGUGAAGGAUGACUGCCCUAUGGGUUGUAAACUUCUUUUAUAAAGGAAUAAAGUCGGGUAUGGAUACCCGUUUGCAUGUACUUUAUGAAUAAGGACCGGCUAAUUCCGUGCCAGCAGCCGCGGUAAUACGGAAGGUCCGGGCGUUAUCCGGAUUUAUUGGGUUUAAAGGGAGCGUAGGCCGGAGAUUAAGCGUGUUGUGAAAUGUAGACGCUCAACGUCUGCACUGCAGCGCGAACUGGUUUUCUUGAGAACGCACAAAGUGGGCGGAAUUCGUGGUGUAGCGGUGAAAUGCUUAGAUAUCACGAAGAACUCCGAUUGCGAAGGCAGCUCACUGGAGCGCAACUGACGCUGAAGCUCGAAAGUGCGGGUAUCGAACAGGAUUAGAUACCCCGG
Molecule: ribosomal RNA, 435 nt
Filed under: uncultured Prevotella sp.
Lineage: Bacteria; Pseudomonadati; Bacteroidota; Bacteroidia; Bacteroidales; Prevotellaceae
Description: bacterial SSU rRNA
Rfam family: Bacterial small subunit ribosomal RNA
Source: RNAcentral